GGGCCCGCACAAGCGGUGGAGUAUGUGGUUUAAUUCGAUGCAACGCGAAGAACCUUACCAGGGUUUGACAUCCUGCGAAUCUCUUGGAAACGAGAGAGUGCCUUCGGGAACGCAGUGACAGGUGGUGCAUGGCUGUCGUCAGCUCGUGUCGUGAGAUGUUGGGUUAAGUCCCGCAACGAGCGCAACCCACAUCCCUAGUUGCCAGCAGUUCGGCUGGGCACUCUAUGGAAACUGCCCGUGAUAAGCGGGAGGAAGGUGUGGAUGACGUCAAGUCCUCAUGGCCCUUACGGGUUGGGCUACACACGUGCUACAAUGGCAAGUACAACGAGUCGCAAUACCGCGAGGUGGAG
This 350-nucleotide ribosomal RNA is filed under the name uncultured bacterium. Its description in RNAcentral is "bacterial SSU rRNA". It matches the Rfam family "Bacterial small subunit ribosomal RNA", at positions 917 to 1267 of the family's 1533-position model. The record is from RNAcentral.